Molecule: ribosomal RNA, 560 nt
Filed under: Palmaria hecatensis
Lineage: Eukaryota; Rhodophyta; Florideophyceae; Palmariales; Palmariaceae
Description: eukaryotic LSU rRNA
Rfam family: Eukaryotic large subunit ribosomal RNA
Source: RNAcentral
AUGGAAAGAACUUUGAAAAGAGAGUGAAAAGCACUUGAAACCGUCACGGGGGAAGCGGAUUGCGUGAGUGAUGGUGUCGCUUGUUCAGCGCUUUAUUGCGUGCAUUCUGGCGGCACCGUGCCGGCGUGGCUGGCUGGACUGUGAUUUUGACAGUCUCGGCUGGUGAGGGCUCCCUCGUAUGAGGUGAGGACGCGGGCAAAAUGACGCAAUACGACCCGUCUUGAAACACGGACCAAGGAGUCUAGCACGGCUGCGAGUCGAAGAGUGAUUAAACUCAAGGGCGCAGUGAAAGCGAAAUUAUAAGCAAAUUGGGGAGGCGUUGCGUUUUUAACAAAAUGUCCUACCUCGAGCAUUUGUGCUGGGACCCGAAAGAUGGUGAACUAUGCCGGAGUAGGGCAAAGCCAGAGGAAACUCUGGUGGAGGCUCGUAGCGAUGCUGACGUGCAAAUCGCUCGUCGAACUUGGGUAUAGGGGCGAAAGACUAAUCGAACCAUCUAGUAGCUGGUUCCCUCCGAAGUUUCUCUCAGGAUAGCGGGCCGACACGCGUUUGUUGUUUUGUGC